This 492-nucleotide ribosomal RNA is filed under the name uncultured bacterium. RNAcentral's name for it is "partial 16S ribosomal RNA". It matches the Rfam family "Bacterial small subunit ribosomal RNA", at positions 29 to 507 of the family's 1533-position model. The record is from RNAcentral.
AGUGAACGCUGGCGGUAGGCCUAACACAUGCAAGUCGAACGACAGCACAGUAAGAGCUUGCUCUUACGGGUGGCGAGUGGCGGACGGGUGAGGAAUACAUCGGAAUCUACUUUUUCGUGGGGGAUAACGUAGGGAAACUUACGCUAAUACCGCAUACGACCUACGGGUGAAAGCAGGGGAUCUUCGGACCUUGCGCGAUUGAAUGAGCCGAUGUCGGAUUAGCUAGUUGGCGGGGUAAAGGCCCACCAAGGCGGCGAUCCGUAGCUGGUCUGAGAGGAUGAUCAGCCACACUGGAACUGAGACACGGUCCAGACUCCUACGGGAGGCAGCAGUGGGGAAUAUUGGACAAUGGGCGCAAGCCUGAUCCAGCCAUACCGCGUGGGUGAAGAAGGCCUUCGGGUUGUAAAGCCCUUUUGUUGGGAAAGAAAAGCAGCAGGUUAAUACCCCGCUGUUCUGACGGUACCCAAAGAAUAAGCACCGGCUAACUUCGUG